Molecule: ribosomal RNA, 697 nt
Filed under: uncultured bacterium
Lineage: Bacteria
Description: bacterial SSU rRNA
Rfam family: Bacterial small subunit ribosomal RNA
Source: RNAcentral
GUGCAUGGCAGACGGGUGAGUAACGCGUAGGGAAUCUACCUUUUUGUGGGGAAUAACGCUCCGAAAGGAGUGGUAAUACCGCAUGAGACCGCAGACUGGGAUGUUUGUGGUGAAACCUGGGGAUCGCAAGGCCUGGGGCAAGAAGAGGAUCCUGCGUCUGAUUAGCUAGUUGGCGGGGUAAUGGCCCACCAAGGCGACGAUCAGUAGCCGGCCUGAGAGGGUGAUCGGCCACACUGGAACUGAGACACGGUCCAGACUCCUACGGGAGGCAGCAGUGGGGAAUUUUGCGCAAUGGACGAGAGUCUGACGCAGCAACGCCGCGUGGGUGAUGAAGGUCUUCGGACUGUAAAACCCUGUCGUCAGGGACGAAGGUAUGGGAGUUAAUAGCUCUUAUGCUUGACGGUACCUGGAGAGGAAGCCCCGGCUAACUCUGUGCCAGCAGCCGCGGUAAUACAGAGGGGGCAAGCGUUAUUCGGAAUUAUUGGGCGUAAAGGGCGCGUAGGCGGUUUUUUAAGUCAGAUGUGUAAUCCCCGAGCUCAACUUGGGAACUGCAUCUGAGACUGGAAGGCUAGAGUACUGGAGAGGGUGGUGGAAUUCCUCGUGUAGCGGUGAAAUGCGUAGAGAUGAGGAGGAACACCAGUGGCGAAGGCGGCCACCUGGACAGUAACUGACGCUGAGGCGCGAAAGUGUGGGUAGC